AUGCCGGCGGAUGUACACGAACUGCGAGACGAGGCGACGCAACGCAUGCCAACUCUCUAUUUGCAUGAGGUGGCCACAUCGUUUUUAAUUUACCGGACUGCCUAUGAUGUUAGCCUGAACGACGACUCUUGGCCACAGGAAGCGUUUGAGCUCGUCUCCGGGAGCACAUCAAAGAUAGUGGAGAAGCUCGAUCCCGGUUCAACGACAUCCCAUAACUUUGUCUUGGAGACCAAAGCGCAGGGCAAGUUUCAGGGUUCUCCCACGAUUAUAAAUUACCGUGUUCCCUCAAAGGCUGCACUCCAGAUUUGUUGGGGUUACAUGCUUUAUUUAGAGGCCUAUUCAACUCCCAUCCUUCCAUUUGAUAUUCUCGCAAAGAGAAUUGUUGGCAAACAGUGGCCGUUGGCAUCUGGUCUUUCCUUUGUUGGUGUGCUUAAUUAUCUACCUCGUCGCAAGGCAAUCGAAAUUGGUUCUGCAAAAGCAGGCAAGAAGAGGCGCUGA
RNAcentral lists this ribosomal RNA (498 nucleotides) under Triticum aestivum (bread wheat). RNAcentral's name for it is "partial small subunit ribosomal RNA". The record is from RNAcentral. Lineage: Eukaryota; Viridiplantae; Streptophyta; Magnoliopsida; Poales; Poaceae.